RNAcentral lists this ribosomal RNA (682 nucleotides) under uncultured bacterium. Its description in RNAcentral is "bacterial SSU rRNA". It matches the Rfam family "Bacterial small subunit ribosomal RNA", at positions 80 to 746 of the family's 1533-position model. The record is from RNAcentral.
UUGCUCCUUUGACGUUAGCGGCGGACGGGUGAGUAACACGUGGGCAACCUACCCUAUAGUUUGGGAUAACUCCGGGAAACCGGGGCUAAUACCGAAUAAUCUCUUGUCCCUCAUGGGACAAUACUGAAAGACGGUCUUGGCUGUCGCUAUAGGAUGGGCCCGCGGCGCAUUAGCUAGUUGGUGAGGUAACGGCUCACCAAGGCAACGAUGCGUAGCCGACCUGAGAGGGUGAUCGGCCACACUGGGACUGAGACACGGCCCAGGCUCCUACGGGAGGCAGCAGUAGGGAAUCUUCCACAAUGGGCGAAAGCCUGAUGGAGCAACGCCGCGUGAGUGAAGAAGGAUUUCGGUUCGUAAAACUCUGUUGUAAGGGAAGAACAAGUACAGUAGUAACUGGCUGUACCUUGACGGUACCUUAUUAGAAAGCCACGGCUAACUACGUGCCAGCAGCCGCGGUAAUACGUAGGUGGCAAGCGUUGUCCGGAAUUAUUGGGCGUAAAGCGCGCGCAGGUGGUUUCUUAAGUCUGAUGUGAAAGCCCACGGCUCAACCGUGGAGGGUCAUUGGAAACUGGGAGACUUGAGUGCAGAAGAGGAUAGUGGAAUUCCAAGUGUAGCGGUGAAAUGCGUACAGAUUUGGAGGAACACCAGUGGCGAACGCGACUAUCUGGUCUGUAACUGACAC